This 124-nucleotide non-coding RNA is filed under the name uncultured Agathobacter sp. RNAcentral describes it as "FMN riboswitch (RFN element)". It matches the Rfam family "FMN riboswitch aptamer (RFN element)". Rfam says of the family: The RFN element is a highly conserved domain that is found frequently in the 5'-untranslated regions of prokaryotic mRNAs that encode for flavin mononucleotide (FMN) biosynthesis and transport proteins. This element is a metabolite-dependent riboswitch that directly binds FMN in the absence of proteins. Lineage: Bacteria; Bacillati; Bacillota; Clostridia; Lachnospirales; Lachnospiraceae. The record is from RNAcentral.
UUCUUCGGGGCAGGGUGCUGCGUGAUAUCGCAUAUUCCCGACCGACGGUAUAGUCCGUGAACUGCUUAGGCAGCCGAUCCGGUGAGAUUCCGGGACCGACAGUAUAGUCUGGAUGAGAGAAGAA